GACGAACGCUGGCGGCGUGCUUAACACAUGCAAGUCGAACGGAAAGGCCCUGCUUUUGUGGGGUGCUCGAGUGGCGAACGGGUGAGUAACACGUGAGUAACCUGCCCUUGACUUUGGGAUAACUUCAGGAAACUGGGGCUAAUACCGGAUAGGAGCUCCUGCUGCAUGGUGGGGGUUGGAAAGUUUCGGCGGUUGGGGAUGGACUCGCGGCUUAUCAGCUUGUUGGUGGGGUAGUGGCUUACCAAGGCUUUGACGGGUAGCCGGCCUGAGGGGGUGACCGGCCACAUUGGGACUGAGAUACGGACCAGACUCCUACGGGAGGCAGCAGUGGGGAGUAUUGCACAAUGGGCGGAAGCCUGAUGCAGCAACGCCGCGUGCGGGAUGACGGCCUUCGGGUUGUAAACCGCUUUCGCCUGUGACGAAGCGUGAGUGACGGUAAUGGGUAAAGAAGCACCGGCUAACUACGUG
Molecule: ribosomal RNA, 468 nt
Filed under: uncultured bacterium
Lineage: Bacteria
Description: partial 16S ribosomal RNA
Rfam family: Bacterial small subunit ribosomal RNA
Source: RNAcentral